RNAcentral lists this transfer RNA (74 nucleotides) under Patescibacteria group bacterium. RNAcentral describes it as "tRNA-Gly". It matches the Rfam family "tRNA". From Rfam's summary of the family: Transfer RNA (tRNA) molecules are approximately 80 nucleotides in length. Their secondary structure includes four short double-helical elements and three loops (D, anti-codon, and T loops). The record is from RNAcentral.
GCGGGAUUAGUUUAGUGGCAGAAUGCGAACCUUCCAAGUUCGAUGCGCCGGUUCGAUUCCGGCAUCCCGCACAA